RNAcentral lists this transfer RNA (72 nucleotides) under Mastocarpus papillatus. RNAcentral's name for it is "tRNA-Pro". It matches the Rfam family "tRNA". From Rfam's summary of the family: Transfer RNA (tRNA) molecules are approximately 80 nucleotides in length. Their secondary structure includes four short double-helical elements and three loops (D, anti-codon, and T loops). Further hydrogen bonds mediate the characteristic L-shaped molecular structure. tRNAs have two regions of fundamental functional importance: the anti-codon, which is responsible for specific mRNA codon recognition, and the 3' end, to which the tRNAs corresponding amino acid is attached (by aminoacyl-tRNA synthetases). tRNAs cope with the degeneracy of the genetic code in two manners: having more than one tRNA (with a specific anti-codon) for a particular amino acid; and 'wobble' base-pairing, i.e. permitting non-standard base-pairing at the 3rd anti-codon position. The record is from RNAcentral. Lineage: Eukaryota; Rhodophyta; Florideophyceae; Gigartinales; Phyllophoraceae.
UAGGGUAUGACGUAAAGGUAUCGUAUUUGCCUUGGACGCAAAAAACUGUAGGUUCGAACCCUACUACCCUAA